GUUGUGAAAUGUUGGUUAAGUCCCGCAACGAGCGCAACCCUUAUCCUUGUUGCCAGCGGUCCGGCCGGGAAACUCAAAGGAGACUGCCAGUGAUAAACUGGAGGAAGGUGGGGAUGACGUCAAGUCAUCAUGGCCCUUACGACCAGGGCUACACACGUGCUACAAUGGCGCAUACAAAGAGAAGCGACCUCGCGAGAGCAAGCGGACCUCAUAAAGUGCGUCGUAGUCCGGAUUGGAGUCUGCAACUCGACUCCAUGAAGUCGGAAUCGCUAGUAAUCGUGGAUCAGAAUGCCACGGUGAAUACGUUCCCGGGCCUU
RNAcentral lists this ribosomal RNA (317 nucleotides) under uncultured Enterobacteriaceae bacterium. Its description in RNAcentral is "bacterial SSU rRNA". It matches the Rfam family "Bacterial small subunit ribosomal RNA", at positions 1064 to 1382 of the family's 1533-position model. Lineage: Bacteria; Pseudomonadati; Pseudomonadota; Gammaproteobacteria; Enterobacterales; Enterobacteriaceae. The record is from RNAcentral.